Long non-coding RNA from Zophobas morio, 562 nucleotides. RefSeq lists it as uncharacterized. NCBI's taxonomy places the organism in Eukaryota, Metazoa, Arthropoda, Insecta, Coleoptera, Tenebrionidae. The record is from RefSeq and is a predicted model, not a curated record. The transcript has 4 exons.
AUUAUAUUUAAAGCCUACAUCAUAUAAAUCUACUUCGAAGCCAUUUUGUAGAGAGCAGAAGUAUUUUCCUAAAACAAUUUUUAAAGUUGGACAACUACGCACGAGUCCUGUCUGCUUUAGAGUUUUUUGAAAAUCUUCGAAGAAAAUUAAUUUUAGAAUCUACUGAUCGGCAGCGGCUAACUUCUUUUUUAACGAGUGAACGUUCGGGAAUUAAUUAUUUACUUGAAAUUCGUCAAUCGCGAAUUGCGAACCGUGUGCGCCGCGAGAAAUUUUUAAUCCGCCGCAUUGAGAAAAAAUCUAAAAUGUCGGAUCCCAUUUUCAUUUCGGAAAAAGUAGAAUUCUGUGUGAAGACGAUUCUCGACUUUCAAGAUUUCCUUUCCUCUCGAUCUUUUUUAAAUUUCGUUUGUUCUAUUACUUCACUCGAUUUAGAAAAAUCUAAUUUCUGGCUCAACCGAUAUACUAACGGGGACUACACGUUGCUUACGGACGACCAGCAUUGCGAAUCUAAAAAUUUUCUGCAUUUUAUUUUUUAUAGCUUAUUAAAAAAAGACAAGUUUAUGCC